Molecule: small nucleolar RNA, 138 nt
Filed under: Ornithorhynchus anatinus (platypus)
Lineage: Eukaryota; Metazoa; Chordata; Mammalia; Monotremata; Ornithorhynchidae
Source: RNAcentral
UCUCUCCAAGGAUCACACCUGGAGAGUUUCCAGUACUCUACCAGUCUUGGUUAUGGGAGGAAGAGCCAAGCAGAGGCAUACUCAUUCCAUUCCUAGCUCGGGCAGUGGCUGGCAACUGGAAGGCAAUCUGCUUCAAGU